Poecilia reticulata (guppy) is the source of this 958-nucleotide non-coding RNA. The record is from RefSeq and is a predicted model, not a curated record. NCBI's taxonomy places the organism in Eukaryota, Metazoa, Chordata, Actinopteri, Cyprinodontiformes, Poeciliidae.
UUAAAACAAAAAGAAGUAAACAAAAUAUAUUAUUAUUAUUAUUAUUAUUAAGUUAAAAAGGGAACAAUAACGGCCUUUAGCGUAGUGCUAACUGCAGCUUCCGGCGAGAGAUCUGUUUGGAUGUGUCGCACCAGGAAAGAGUCAGACAAGCCGAGCGGUGAGCUUCAGCGAUGGACUGGACUGUGAAGUGAUUUAUUUUAGGACCGUCACAUCUGAGGUCCAAAUCACACAGAACCCGACGGUUCUGCUGCCAACCUCCGCCGUCUGCUCCGGCUUCGUGACUGGCGUACGAACUAACAACCAGUGUGUGGAAACACAUACGUCCAGUAAAGGUAAGGAAGAACUGAAUCCAAGUGGUUUCUGAGUGGGACUGAUUUAACUGAGACACUCUCCGUAACGUUCAUCACAGCGCUUUAUGAGCUUGUUUUUGUUUCGCUCCUCUGACUGCGAGCAAACUUGUUUAAAAGUUUAACAGAGAAAUCUGCGUCCAGCAGCAACACCAUCUGCCGUCUGCACCUGGCGUCCAAGUCGUCGGCCGAGUCUGCGGUCAAAUUAACAACACACUCCAAGACUGCAGCUGUUUUCAAACAACAUCCCUCUGUUUCUGUCUGCCGACCCCAGCAGACGCACAAUCUGAGCUGGCCAAGGCGCAGCGAGCAUCUGGGACUCGGAUCGGACCGAUUAUUCUGCCUGACUCAUCUUCUGUGAAAGAGGCAGAAAGAGAAACUCCUAGAGAUCAGUUUCUAGAAAAAACAUUGAAAUGUUGGAGCUUGAAAAGUUAAAAAUGUGCAAGAAAAUGUCAGAGAUUUGUGAUAAAUUUCACUUGUAAAUUUAUGAGUUCAAAGUCAAACAUUUGCAAAGGAAAACAUUUUGAGAUUAAUCUCAGAAAUUUUCUGAGGCAAAUGUGGAAAUUUUCUGAGCCCAUGAAGUCAAAAAUCUUUGACUUUUGGAAAUUUUC